Bos taurus (domestic cattle) is the source of this 73-nucleotide non-coding RNA. The record is from Rfam. NCBI's taxonomy places the organism in Eukaryota, Metazoa, Chordata, Mammalia, Artiodactyla, Bovidae.
UCCCUCAUAGCUCAGUUAGUAAAUCAUCUGCCUGCAAUGCAGGAGACCCAGGUUCAAUUCCUGGGUCAGGGAG